UACGGAGGGUGCGAGCGUUGUCCGGAAUCAUUGGGCGUAAAGGGCGCGUAGGUGGCCCGGUCAGUCCGUGGUGAAAGCGCGGGGCUCAACCCUGCGUCGGCCAUGGAUACUGCCGCGGCUCGAGCACUGUAGAGGCAGGCGGAAUUCCGGGUGUAGCGGUGGAAUGCGUAGAGAUCCGGAAGAACACCGGUGGCGAAGGCGGCCUGCUGGGCAGUUUAGCUGACACUGAGGCGCGACAGCGUGGGGAGCAAACAGG
Molecule: ribosomal RNA, 256 nt
Filed under: uncultured bacterium
Lineage: Bacteria
Description: partial 16S ribosomal RNA
Rfam family: Bacterial small subunit ribosomal RNA
Source: RNAcentral